Molecule: non-coding RNA, 228 nt
Organism: Paramuricea clavata
Lineage: Eukaryota; Metazoa; Cnidaria; Anthozoa; Malacalcyonacea; Plexauridae
Source: the annotation of a GenBank genome assembly
CUUUAUUUUGUAUCCAGCGCUUCAAAAUACAUGUACAGACUGGAUUGAAGUUGUAAGAACUUUGUUUCUUCUCUUCGUAUUGAUGAAUUGAACUGACUAUAUGACCGGCAGAGCCGGUCACGGUUUAUCAAAUACUAAAUGGCAGUACAGCGACUAUAGACAUAGUUAAAGUUGAAUUUUUAUAAGAUAAACCGAUCCCCAAGACCCCAACCUUUCUCUAAUCCUAAC